Long non-coding RNA from Orbicella faveolata, 3466 nucleotides. NCBI's taxonomy places the organism in Eukaryota, Metazoa, Cnidaria, Anthozoa, Scleractinia, Merulinidae. The record is from RefSeq and is a predicted model, not a curated record.
CAAUAAUUGGUAUUCAAAUUCUCUGUAAAAUAUUACCAGCGUCUCUAACUGAUGCCGAUCAAUUAAGAGAAAAAAAAUUAAGCCAUGGCCAUGCGUGAAACAACAGUUGCCAACUCCUGCAACGAUUUCCAAAUACUUUAACAUGCAAGUAAAUUUCUUAUCCUAUCAUCUUCAUUGUCUAACCAGCGUGGAUACGAGGAAAACUUUAGCAACGUCUUGUGUUCCUCUGUUGUUGAUUUGUUGUUUCUUGAGAAGAAAUGCGUAAGACAUCAUCUAAAAGGGUAAUUGUGGAAGCAGUAUUUUGCUGAUCUACAGCUGUAGGUCUGUAGGCCCGGUGUUUGAAGUUUAUUUCAUACAGUUUAAGAUUUAACAAACUAGCAUCAUUUUAUCGCAACCCAGUCAAACAUAUCUAGAUUAAUAGGGAAUGAAUCUUUAAUUCCUCCUAUUUCCUACCGGCUUCUCGACUGAUCUGAAAAAAAUCCGUUGGGGGUAACCAAUAUAAAGCCAAUCGCAAUUUAUUUUUUAAACUCUAAAAUGUCUCCAGUUAAUAGAGGCUUUAUAGGGAUCCUUUCUGAAUUUUCGAUGAACAACAGCGGGAAACAAAUUAUGCUGGUGAGUUGUUGUUGUUGUUGUUUUUUUCUUGAAAAUCACGGUGUGGGUACUGUUUUGGCUGGCAAUAAUAAAUUUGCUUUUCACAUUUUAGCUCUAAAUUGCCAGGGCUUCUGUCCAAUUAAAUUAAUAGACCCCUAUAACGAUGCAUGAUAUACCAUUUGAAAGCUAUUGACAUGCGUAUUCUUAAAAUGGCAUCAAUAACCACUAAGGAAGUUACAGCUUUUACUAACAAUGGUUGGAAAAGAAAGAAAGAAAAAGGCAUAGGUCGCACUAGAGCGAAUUUUUUUUUUUGGUCGGUCCGAAAGACCCAAAAAUAUCUUGACUUGCCAAUUUUUUUGGGUUCGUUUUCUGGUCGCACGUGAAGCGACACGACAAGGCUAAAUUCUUGUGUAAACACUGAUAAAACGCUUUUGUAAACAAUGAUGCUUUCCCGUGAAGCCAUACUGUCCAUAAUUUUUCUUAAAUAGACACGCAGUUGACAUGUUUAAUGAAUUUUUGUUUUCUUUGGGCGAUUUUGGAAAAAUCUGCCUGCCCCACCCAUACACUACGGCGUCUUUGAUCUUCUUGGUCCACUGACAAAUUUUUCCAAAUUUUGUUCGUAGGGGUCGCAUUAGGAAAAGCUCCAAUUUUGACCCAAUUUUUGGUAAAACAAACAGAAUUUGCUCUAGUGCGACCCAUGCCUUUAAUUCUAAAAAGUCGAAAUCUUCAUAUGUAUAUAUUUGGUGCUUCCUUAAACUAUACCUUAUUUUACAGCACUCUAUGAAUAGGUUAAUAACAAAUGCAUUAAAGACCGCAUAAUCAUUGUAGAAAAAGGUUCCAAAACUUCCAGGGGUACGUGAUGAACUAUAUGUAUUGGGGAGGUUCACAACUUUUUGUUUUCAAUGUGAUCUUGACAAGAUCAUUUCGGCGCAAACAUUUCAUCGAAAUCAGACAGAUUUAAACCUGAACCAAACAGUGUCGUCAGAAGCUCCUAAGUGCUCUCUCAUGGCGAAAGGAUUAAGACACUGUUUGGGAUAUUUGCAAAGGGUCCUCGCUAAUUUCUCCUAAACUGGCUUUGUCUAAAGAGCGAGUAGAGCAAGAAGAACACACGAACGUGACUCGGGAUUUUACUGCUCGCCGAUUAGCCAGAUUCUAUAAGCUUGGUUCAGUAGAUUUCAAGUCCUCGUGGUUACCGGUUUGAUUUUGUUUUGUCUAUUAUCAAGGAAACGUGUGAUCAAGAGUUCAGGAGAACAUGUGCUCGUUUGCUCAAGAUCUGGACUGCUCAAAUGUUCAAAAAAAUGACUGCGGGAGAGAACUUCAAGAUCAGCAAAGAUAUGAUAUAAAUGGCGCUCAAUAACAAACAUAAGAAGAUCCCGCCAGAAAAGUGUUGAACUAUUUUCGUGUCGCACUCGUCCUGCAAACAACUGCAAACAGAGAAUAAUGAAGAAACAGAUGUUUUCAUUCGCCUUUCACAAAGUAAAUCUUGUCCCAUGCUUCCUUUUCAUUAUCUCAUUUUACCAAAGAACCCCGAAGAACGCCAAGCAUUAAUUUAAAAAAAAAAAAACGUUAAGAAUAGAUCAAAUAAAUGACUCCACAACGCACUAUUAAUAAAUUGCCUCGCAGCGGUACGAAAAUCAAUGGAAUUAUUAUGGCCUUUACAUGCUAGCAACUUCUCAGAACGCGCAUUAAAAUAAUUUUACGUUAGUUAGUACAAGAAAAUAGUAUUCGAUCUUUCCACUCAAAGGUCUAUUUUAGGUACACCUUCUGCCCCUCCCCAGGGCGGUCUCUGGACUAUGAUGUUUUGAAGCCCUUGUUCUCCGACACAGUCUGUCCUGCAUAUAGCACGCAGGGGACCAAUUAGAGUGCUCCUAAUCUCUGUAGAGCAGUCUGACAAAUAAGGAUAGUCUUUGCUCAUUUGCUAUUCAAAAUGAUACUGGUUUAUCUACCUGAUGACAGUCAAUAAAGACAGAAAAGGAUUCAAGCCAAUUGCCAUGGAUAAAACAACAGCUGCUCACUGCUUGAACUAUUUCCAAGACACUUUUAUAUGACAGUAAAUUUCUUAAGCCAUCAUCUUACCGUCGAGAUGAAGAAAACCGUAGUAACGUCUUGUGUUCUGCUGUUGUUGAUUUCGUCGCUGUUGUUAGUCGACAGCGGUAUUUUGGCAAAGCAUAAACGUCGUGGAUCAUCUAAAAAGAGGUUUUAUCGGGAUGGAGAAUUUGAGGCCCUUUCAGAAUUUGUCACGAAUAACAGCGGGGAACGAGAGCUUAGCGACCAGGAAUUCAGAAGAAACAUUUGUUUGUCUGCCCGUGAGCUGGACUGCGAAAGAGAACUUCAAGAUCAAUUAAGAUCUGUUUCAACGGAUGCCCAAAUAACGAAAAAGCGGAAACCUCACCAGUAAAUCAUUCUGAUGUAUUCUCUUCUCGUUAUUGUUAUUAAACGAGCUGCAAAUAAGGAAUAAAGAAUAGACAAAACAACUGACAGGUGUUUACCUCGUGCUUGUUUUCAAUCAAAUCAGGGACUCUUACGAGCAAGGAGUGGGAAGAACAUUUGAAAGGAGCCAGGCGGAAGAAAUUAAGAAAGCAUAAUCCUCGAAUUGCCUCUGAAGUGAAUAUGAAUUCUGAUUUUUUUUUUUUCUUUUUUAGUAGACACUAUAUGAUUGCAGUCCAAAUCCUUGGACCCUAAACUAAUUAUCAAGAGUCAGUAAAGGGUUAUGGUAACACCGAAUAGGCAACAUCGAGAGAACCAUUCAGAUAUGUGUAUUUGCAAUAGACCGGGCUGAGAGCGCUUUUCUCUCGACCAAAGAUUCCGGUUUGAAUUUUCGGAACUUUCCAGUGGCGAGUGACAAAGAAUUUCCCGGAAUUUCUGGAAAAGAGGA